Molecule: long non-coding RNA, 918 nt
Organism: Oreochromis aureus
Lineage: Eukaryota; Metazoa; Chordata; Actinopteri; Cichliformes; Cichlidae
Source: Ensembl
GAUUGUAACAGAUCUUUGGUUUUUCCUUUGCUGACUGCUGAUCUGAUCGUCUCAAGUCUGGUGGCCUGCUGCAGAAGCUCUCUCCCUCUAUCAUUGACAAGCCAUUCAGUCUGUCCUAUCACUCUACCCACUCUAUCUAUUUUGACAAGCCGUUCUAUCUUGCUUCACUCUAUCCCACAAGCUCUAUCUAAGUUAUCAAAAAUCGCGUUUUUAACUGGAAUCAAAUUUUGAAUGGAAUCAAGUUUUGUCUGGCGAAAUCAAGUUUUGACAUGGCCCCAUUUUUGGGAAAUUGAAGUUACCAGUACUUCAUCCAUCUGUUAUAGAAUUCUGAGAGAUCUCUGCUCUCACUGCUCCUUCUUUCCUAUCGUUAAACUCUCUCACAUCCAGUCUUUUUGCUGGAAAUUACACGUAGAAAGUUGAAAUUAAAAUAGUAGAAUUACAGUACAGUAGAAACUAUUUACACAAUUUUAAUUUUUACUUGGAACACUUUGGAAUAAAUACUGAUAGUUUGGCUUAGAGGUGCAAUUACUUGGAUACAUUAUAUAAAAUUUACACCUUAAAGGUUUUUUGUAAUAAGAUAAACUUAUUUUAUACGACACAUUCAGACUGCUGUAUUCACAAAAAUAUUAAACUAGAUAACUUCAGAUACAUUUUGCUAGUCUGUUUCAUUGACUGUAACAUUUGACUAUAGUAGGUUUAUACUAUUAUUAUUUAGGGACAUUUCUGUUACUCAGUGUUCAGACACAAUUGCCAUCGAGAAGCUGCCCUGAGGACCCAGACUUCCUGUUUCCUGACUGCUGCAGAACAUCCAGCUGAAGAAUCCUCAUCGCCUGUCAUCUGAUCACCACAUCACCACAGCUGUUUAUAUUUGCUUUACAUUUUAGAUAUCUGAAAGAUUUACACACGCUCUACUUAAAA